This 107-nucleotide small RNA is filed under the name unclassified sequences. RNAcentral's name for it is "LOOT RNA". It matches the Rfam family "LOOT RNA". From Rfam's summary of the family: Latescibacteria, OD1/Parcubacteria, OP11, TM7. Lineage (Microgenomates, aka OP11) The record is from Rfam by way of RNAcentral.
UUCCUAAACCCUAACGGGCAUGGAACAAAGUCCUCGACAGUAGCAAGCUCUCGUUAGAGCGCUGUCGAGGCUGCAUGCCGAAAGGCGUGUAGGUGGCGCAAGCCAUC